GAUGAACGCUAGCUACAGGCUUAACACAUGCAAGUCGCGGGGCAGCAUGGGGGUUGCUUGCAAUCCCCGAUGGCGACCGGCGCACGGGUGAGUAGCGCGUAUCCAACCUGCCCUUCACCACGGGAUAACCCGGCGAAAGUCGGACUAAUACCGUAUGUUGUCCAUUGACGGCCUCCGAUUUGGACGAAAGGUUUGGCGGUGAAGGAUGGGGAUGCGUCCGAUUAGCUGGACGGCGGGGUGACGGCCCACCGUGGCGACGAUCGGUAGGGGUUCUGAGAGGAAGGUCCCCCACACUGGAACUGAGACACGGUCCAGACUCCUACGGGAGGCAGCAGUGAGGAAUAUUGGUCAAUGGGCGUAAGCCUGAACCAGCCAAGUAGCGUGCAGGAUGACGGCCCUAUGGGUUGUAAACUGCUUUUAUGCGGGGAUAAAGUGGCCCACGUGUGGGUUUUUGCAGGUACCGCAUGAAUAAGGACCGGCUAAUUCCGUG
RNAcentral lists this ribosomal RNA (490 nucleotides) under uncultured bacterium. Its description in RNAcentral is "partial 16S ribosomal RNA". It matches the Rfam family "Bacterial small subunit ribosomal RNA", at positions 28 to 507 of the family's 1533-position model. The record is from RNAcentral.